This is a non-coding RNA of Paramuricea clavata, 582 nucleotides long. The record is from the annotation of a GenBank genome assembly. Lineage: Eukaryota; Metazoa; Cnidaria; Anthozoa; Malacalcyonacea; Plexauridae.
CUACUGGACCCACGUAGUUUGAGUGCUGCAUGGACAAAUUAUUGAUGCCCUAUAAACUAAUGACUUUUAACCCGUUGUGGUUCUGAGUUUUGGGAUGUGAAUGUCUUUCGGUUGACUAGUGGUACACCCACUUCGAAGAGAUCUUCUCACUUCUGCAGAAAUUUUCACUGAAGGAAGUGGCGUGGCAAUAUCGUUGAUGCGCUUAAACGCCAUAACUGCAUGCAUCGCAUAUAUCAUGAUAUAAAUUAAAGUUCCUUCGCCACCGGAAGCUUCUUCAAUUCCUUCAUACACGGGGUAAUGUGAUCAUAUUAUAGUUGUAUCAGUGAGCACAAUAUAUGAAAAUUUACUGACAAGUUAAUCUUGUCAGGGUGUUCGAACCUGUCCGUAUACUUAAAAUUAAAAUAAUUAUAGGCUACAGUCAUUAUAUUUAUUUAUCAGGCAAAUCUUUACGAUUCCAACAAACGAUAGAUUUUCCAGACUUACAGGAAAUUUAGCCCCUAGAGUUUAUCAUUUCUUAUCUAACUUAUCUUUCAAAUUAUUGAUAAAGUACAAAUAUAUCUACGCCGCCUGUUCAUACAAAAU